CGGUGAAUAGUAGAACUUGGUAGCGCAUCCUGAUUUUAGGUAUAGCGGACCAGAGGGUCGGGGGUUCGAAUCCCUCUUCACCGA
RNAcentral lists this transfer RNA (84 nucleotides) under Photobacterium profundum SS9. It matches the Rfam family "tRNA". From Rfam's summary of the family: Transfer RNA (tRNA) molecules are approximately 80 nucleotides in length. Their secondary structure includes four short double-helical elements and three loops (D, anti-codon, and T loops). The record is from Rfam by way of RNAcentral. Lineage: Bacteria; Pseudomonadati; Pseudomonadota; Gammaproteobacteria; Vibrionales; Vibrionaceae.